RNAcentral lists this transfer RNA (74 nucleotides) under bacterium. Its description in RNAcentral is "tRNA-Gln". It matches the Rfam family "tRNA". From Rfam's summary of the family: Transfer RNA (tRNA) molecules are approximately 80 nucleotides in length. Their secondary structure includes four short double-helical elements and three loops (D, anti-codon, and T loops). Further hydrogen bonds mediate the characteristic L-shaped molecular structure. tRNAs have two regions of fundamental functional importance: the anti-codon, which is responsible for specific mRNA codon recognition, and the 3' end, to which the tRNAs corresponding amino acid is attached (by aminoacyl-tRNA synthetases). tRNAs cope with the degeneracy of the genetic code in two manners: having more than one tRNA (with a specific anti-codon) for a particular amino acid; and 'wobble' base-pairing, i.e. permitting non-standard base-pairing at the 3rd anti-codon position. The record is from RNAcentral.
UGCGGGGUCGUCUAAUGGUAGGACAGCGGCCUUUGAAGCCGUGAACGAAGGUUCGAAUCCUUCCCCCGCAGCCA